AUGUAUCCUCUUUGCUUGGUGGUGAAAGUCAUUGUUGCAAGGAAUGGGAUAGAAUCCUUUACCAUUCCAUUGCUGGAGGAAACCCACUUUGGGCGGAUUCAGGCGAGGAUGGACGGAUGGGAGAGAACACAAAGACGCCCAAUGUUGGCUGAGGAUAAAGUUGUGAUGCUAUGGUAAAUGCUCUUGCUUUAAAAUAACUGGGUCACCUGUUAAUGAAAACCACGCUGGUAGAGCUGGUGAGCCUGAGAAGUGGACUCAUGAUAGCAGCUGCCUUCUGAGGGCCCCCACCUGAAAUGGUGAGUGUACGUUGGGGGAGCAGGCUUGAAGAGUGCUGGCUACACCAGUAUUCCCUACAAUAACUUUUUUUUUUCCUCUAGGCAAAUAGGGUUAAGUGACUUGCUCAGCUAGGAAGUGUCCAAGACUAGAUUUGAACCCUGAUCCUCCCAAAUCCAGGUCUAGCUCUCAAUCCAAUGAGCCAUCUAGCUACCCUCCUACAAUAACUUUAUAAAGGUUUCCUACUCAAUUAUAAUUUCUCUAAUGGAGGUUAGAGAAGAUGCUUCAUGGGGCAAAAACCACAACUGCUAUAAACAUCAUUUCCCUGAGAUUCCCCAGUGUAGACAAUUUAGGGCUAGAGAGCCAUUUUUUACAGUAUUCCUUCACUGAAUAUCUCCACUGAUUGUUUUAUUAAAGAAGAUAAAUGAAUUCAGGAAAACCAAACUUCUCCACUAGCAAAAUUUUCCUUUCCCUACACUGAAUCUGCAGCUGUACUAAAUAAUUAAAUUUGGAAUGAUCCAUUGAGCAAUCACCCCAAACCCAUUCACUGGAAACCCUGGGGAUAGAAUUCCUUCCCUCUGGCACAUUGACUAGAAAUGACCUGCAGUAUUAUCAUCUCAUUCAUCUUCAAGCAAUGCAGUAUUCAAGAAAAUGUCUCUCUAAAGACACCCCAGUGUAGGCGGAAGAGCACUGAAGUCAGCUGAAUCAAAAGGCUGGGUUUGAACCUUGGCUUUGCCUUUUACCAGCUUUGUAACCUCAAGGAACUCAUGUUGGCUUCCAUCACGAUAUCCUACAUGAUGCAGGGAGGGUGGGGAGAGGUUAGAAUGCUAGUGGAUGGGACCUAUUAAGUAGAUAAGAAGAAAAGUAAAU
Molecule: long non-coding RNA, 1143 nt
Filed under: Monodelphis domestica (gray short-tailed opossum)
Lineage: Eukaryota; Metazoa; Chordata; Mammalia; Didelphimorphia; Didelphidae
Description: lncRNA (ENSMODG00000041061.1)
Source: RNAcentral